RNAcentral lists this long non-coding RNA (988 nucleotides) under Homo sapiens (human). Its description in RNAcentral is "HSALNT0315333". The record is from RNAcentral. Lineage: Eukaryota; Metazoa; Chordata; Mammalia; Primates; Hominidae.
ACCGAAGCAUCAACUAUCUUGGAACUCUGCCAACUAGAACCUCGGCCUCAACUGACACAUCCAAACUAAUGGCUGAGUGUCUUUUUUAGCAGCAUCAAGCAACUCCUUUACAAUACCACCCAAAGUAAUUUUCCUGAAGAAAUUCUCCUUGUAUCUAACUUCAUUCAGGUUCUUGGGGCUUGCCAAAUAGCCAGCAAUGUGACCUUAACUUGGUCAGUUGACAUCUCUGGUCUUAAGUUUCCUAAUCUGCAACAUUUGAAGGUUUAUUUUCUAAACGUUUUUACUUUAGUACUAAUUUCUGUGAGACAAUCAAGCUAUUCAAUGUUAGGUUGAGGUAUGUAAAUCAUUCCUGCCAGCCUUUGUACGAGGUGGUUCUGGUAUCACUGUGGCCCAGCAUGUGUCUGUCUAUCAGUGUUGGCAGCCGCUGAGACAAGUGAUGUCACCUGCCAAUACUGUAGAUUGAAUAACCAGGGAAGGCUGAGGAAUGCAAGUGAAUGUAAAAACCACCUGGAGGGAAGCAUUGCAGCAAGAAAGGAACAGCAAGUGCAGAGGCCUGAGGCAGAACCAGCAGGGAAAAUGCUUUGAGGUGAGGCAGGUUCCAUGAAAACCUGGAAGAAAUAUUCCUGAGGACCAUCCAACACCAUUUCCCUGAGAGACAAGCUGUAAGUGCUGUUCUAGUUACAGAUCCGAGUCCCUGGUACAUUGAUAUCAAGUAAGGGUGCAUGCAGCUCAGAAGGCAGUUUCCAUUACACUGGACAAGAGUGUGGCUGCCUGAGUCCUAGAACUGCAGUGGCUUCUGCUGACAAUGUGAGGAGUAGCUGCCCUGUCCAGAGUGUGGCCCCGCACGCUGCCCCCUCCCCUGGAGGGACUGAAGAGAACAGCUUGGAGCAUGCCCUUCCCUUUCCCUUAUCUCGCCCACUAUGCUAAUGCUGCUCAUCCCUCAAGAUCCGAGUUAUUCCUCCUCAAUUCAAUACACACCAAUCAACUG